RNAcentral lists this ribosomal RNA (414 nucleotides) under Sacculina carcini. RNAcentral describes it as "partial 16S ribosomal RNA". It matches the Rfam family "Archaeal large subunit ribosomal RNA", at positions 1895 to 2596 of the family's 2987-position model. The record is from RNAcentral. Lineage: Eukaryota; Metazoa; Arthropoda; Thecostraca; Sacculinidae.
UUUAUCAAAAACAUUUCUUCUAAAAAAUAGAAGUACUCUCUGCUCACUGUUCAAUAAAGAGCCGCAGUAUUUUGACUGUGCUAAGGUAGCAUAAUAAUUUGAUUUUUAAUUGAAAUCUGGCAUGAAGGAGAUUGCGAAAUUUUAACUUUCUUAUAUUUAUAAUUUAAAAUUUUAUUUUUAAGUGAAAAAGCUUAAAUAAAUUUAAAAGACGAGAAGACCCCGAGAAUUUAAAUUCUUUAAAAUUAUUUAUUGAAUCAGAAUUUUAGCUGGGGCGGCUGUUAAGAAAUAAAAUCCUUAAAUAAAUAAACUAUAUUAGAAAAUUUGAAGUUUAAAUAAAUUAAUAGUAAAAUUACCUCGGGGAUAACAGCGUAAUUUUUAUUUAAAGUUCUUAUAAAAAUAAAAGUUUGCGACCUC